GCAGCUCACUGGCAUUCCAUUCCACCUUGUGGAUGCUUUGUUCUUUUGCUGUUUGCAAUAAAUCUUGCUGCUGCACACUCUUUGGCUCCACAGUGCCUUUAUGAGCUGUAACACUCACCACGAAGGUCUGCUGCUUCUCUCCUGAGGUUAGCGAGACGCCGACUCCAACAGGAGGAAUGAACAACUCCGGACGCGCUGCCUUAAGAGCUGUCACACUCACUGUGAAGGUCUGCAGCUUCACUCUUGAAGCCUGUGAGACCAUGAACCCAUCAGAAAAAAGAAACUCCGAACGUGUUUGAACAUCAGAAGGAACAAACUCCGGACACACCAUCUUUAACACUCAUCGCGAGGGUCUGCGGCUUCAUUCUUAAAGUCAGUGAGACCAAGAACCCAUCAAUUCCGGACACAGCUGGAGUGCAAUAGCGCGGUCUCAGCUCACUGCAAUCUCCAUCUCCUAGGUUCAAGCAAUUCUCCUGCCUCAGCCUCCUGAGUAGCUGGUUAUAGGCAUGCACCACCAUGCCUGCUAAGUUUGUAGUUUUAGCAGACACAGGGUUUCUCCAUGUUGGUCAGGCUGGUCUUGAACUUCUGAUCUCAGGUGAUCCACCUGCCUCUAUCUCCCAAAGUGCUGGGAUUACAGGCAUGAGCCACCACACCCGGCCACAUGCAUUAAUUUUUAAAGACAAUAACCAUAUGUGUUGCUUAGGAGUUUGGGAUCCGUUUUCGUUUUUUUUUUUUUUUUU
This 740-nucleotide long non-coding RNA is filed under the name Homo sapiens (human). RNAcentral describes it as "HSALNT0291650". Lineage: Eukaryota; Metazoa; Chordata; Mammalia; Primates; Hominidae. The record is from RNAcentral.